GGGAAAGGCUUCGGCCGGACAGGGAUGGGCAUGCGGCGCAUUAGGCAGUAGGCGGGGUAACGGCCCACCUAACCGACGAUGCGUAGGGGUUCUGAGAGGAAGGUCCCCCACACUGGUACUGAGACACGGACCAGACUCCUACGGGAGGCAGCAG
Molecule: ribosomal RNA, 154 nt
Filed under: uncultured bacterium
Lineage: Bacteria
Description: partial 16S ribosomal RNA
Rfam family: Bacterial small subunit ribosomal RNA
Source: RNAcentral